AAUCUACCUAGUAGAAGGGGAUAGCCCGGGGAAACUCGGAUUAAUACCGUAUACCUCCUUAGGGAGAAAGAGGGCUUAGCUUUGAUGCUCUCGCUAUUAGAUGAGCCUGCGUAAGAUUAGCUUGUUGGUGAGGUAAUGGCUCACCAAGGCGACGAUCUUUAGCUGGUCUGAGAGGACGAUCAGCCACAUUGGGACUGAGACACGGCCCAGACUCCUACGGGAGGCAGCAGUGGGGAAUAUUGGACAAUGGGCGCAAGCCUGAUCCAGCCAUACCGCGUGUGUGAAGAAGGCUUUCGGGUUGUAAAGCACUUUAAGUAAGGAGGAAAAGAUUGUAGUUAAUACCUGCAAUCCGUGACGUUACUUACAGAAUAAGGACCGGCUAAUUCCGUGCCAGCAGCCGCGGUAAUACGGAAGGUCCAAGCGU
RNAcentral lists this ribosomal RNA (424 nucleotides) under uncultured bacterium. RNAcentral describes it as "bacterial SSU rRNA". It matches the Rfam family "Bacterial small subunit ribosomal RNA", at positions 123 to 541 of the family's 1533-position model. The record is from RNAcentral.